This 442-nucleotide ribosomal RNA is filed under the name uncultured bacterium. Its description in RNAcentral is "partial 16S ribosomal RNA". It matches the Rfam family "Bacterial small subunit ribosomal RNA", at positions 338 to 795 of the family's 1533-position model. The record is from RNAcentral.
CCUACGGGGGGCAGCAGUGGGGAAUAUUGGGCAAUGGGCGCAAGCCUGACCCAGCAACGCCGCGUGAAGGAAGAAGGCUUUCGGGUUGUAAACUUCUGUUGUCAGGGAGGAGAAGAAGACGGUACCUGACGAAUAAGCCACGGCUAACUACGUGCCAGCAGCCGCGGUAAUACGGAGGUGGCAAGCGUUGUCCGGAUUUACUGGGUGUAAAGGGCGUGUAGCCGGGUUGACAAGUCAGAUGUGAAAUCCUGCGGCUUAACCGCAGAACUGCAUUUGAAACUGUUGAUCUUGAGUACUGGAGAGGCAGGUGGAAUUCCUAGUGUAGCGGUGAAAUGCGUAGAUAUUAGGAGGAACACCAGUGGCGAAGGCGGUCUGCUGGACAGCAACUGACGGUGAGGCGCGAAAGCGUGGGGAGCAAACAGGAUUAGAUACCCCAGUAGUC